Molecule: ribosomal RNA, 206 nt
Filed under: uncultured bacterium
Lineage: Bacteria
Description: partial 16S ribosomal RNA
Rfam family: Bacterial small subunit ribosomal RNA
Source: RNAcentral
UAAUACGAAGGAUCCUAGCGUUGUCCGGAUUUACUGGGUUUAAAGGGUGCGUAGGCGGACUUUUAAGUCAGUGGUGAAAGCCUGCAGCUUAACUGUAGAAUUGCCAUUGAAACUGAUUGUCUCGAGUGCGGUUGAGGUCACUGGAAUAUAUCAUGUAGCGGUGAAAUGCUUAGAUAUGAUAUAGAACACCAAUUGCGAAGGCAGGU